GGUGUGGCCUUGUUGGAGGAAGUGUGUCACAGGGGAUGGGCUUUGAGGUUUCAGAAGCUCAAGCCAGACCCAGUGUCACUCUCUCUUCCUGCUGCCUGCUGAUCC
Cricetulus griseus (Chinese hamster) is the source of this 105-nucleotide microRNA precursor. Lineage: Eukaryota; Metazoa; Chordata; Mammalia; Rodentia; Cricetidae. The record is from Ensembl.